Nothoprocta perdicaria is the source of this 878-nucleotide long non-coding RNA. RefSeq lists it as uncharacterized. Lineage: Eukaryota; Metazoa; Chordata; Aves; Tinamiformes; Tinamidae. The transcript is spliced from 2 exons. The record is from RefSeq and is a predicted model, not a curated record.
UAAUGGAAGGUUUCUGGGAAUCUUUUUAAGAGCUGGAGAUGUCUAUUACUGAUAGGAGUUAUGCAGUCAUUGAAGAGCUCAGCUGCCAGAGAGCUGCAGGAGGAGGUUAUGAGAAUGUAUAGCACCAGAGAUUGUGAAAAAGAGACUGGCAGAUCUUCAGAGAUCUCUGAGAGCUUGCAGCUUUUUGAGAUCAAACUUUCAACGCUAGUGGAGGGACUGACAGAGUCAGUGCCUGUGGAGACAGAAAGUGGCACUCCCAUAAUGGCCAAAGCUGGAAGCUGGUGACUUCUGACCCAAGGAGGCAGGCUCCAGGAAACCUUGCAACUUUGGAAUUGAUUCAUUAACCUCAUAAAGAAAAGGAAGCAGAAACAUUCUGAAAUGGAGUGUAUGAGCCAGGUGAACUUCACAAAUACACGAAGAGGAAGUGUUUCCAGUGAGAAACACUGGAAAGAGUUCACAAACAAUGCCUGUUUGUGAGACUCCACCUGCCAAUUUAGAUCUGCUAUCAAAGGAUGAUGCUGCUUGCCAGGGGUUCAUGUAUGGGAUGUUGUGGAGAAGCUGCUGAGGGUUUUCUGGUCACCAAAUUAUUACUCCUUGGUUCUAUUCCAUAUGGGUACUAGAGACACUGCCUGGGAAGACUUAGAGAACAUCUAAUGUGAUUACAUCAAUUUGGAGGAAAUGGCCAAGCGUAUGGCUGUCCAGUGAUUGUCUUUAACCCUCCUUGUGAUGGGAAGUGCCUGAGUAGGACUGAAAGGAUUCUCUGGGUCAACACUUGAUUGUGCAACUGUUGUCAACUACAGGGAUUUUGUUUCUACAACCAUGGGAUACUCUUCUAGAACUGACUAUUGCUCGUCUUAAAAAAAAAAAAAAAAAAAAAA